RNAcentral lists this long non-coding RNA (1593 nucleotides) under Canis lupus familiaris (dog). RNAcentral's name for it is "lncRNA (ENSCAFG00805019725.1, ENSCAFG00845009749.1)". The record is from RNAcentral. Lineage: Eukaryota; Metazoa; Chordata; Mammalia; Carnivora; Canidae.
AUUUACUUUCAAGGCCCCACCUGAGCUGUGCAUGGACCCUUCUAACAUGUUGCCACUCUCUGGACACUCGGGGGAAAUGGCCCCUCAGGAAGGCCACUUCCCUUCAUCUUCAGAUUUGGGAUCAGCCAAUGAGGGGCCGGCUGAUUGCCAGAGCCACGUGUGAGACUCGCCUGGUUUUAAGGAACAUCACCACCUGCCCAAGAAUUGACUUGAAUUCAGUGUUCCCUUUCACCAAGAGACUCAAAAUGUACCAAAACUGUGCCCACUGAUUUAUGUAAUGUACUUAAGGUCCUAUUAGUUCACUGGAAAACCAAAUAUAUUUCUAGGCAAGACCACUUUUCAAGAGCAAACCGCUACUUUCAGUUACACUAAUAAAACCUAUAACUGUAACGGUUGUCUUUUAUAUUUACUGGGAAAGAAAAGAGAAUUAGGCCAAACCAUUUUCAUUUUACUUUUCAUUUCUAUAGAUUUGAGUUUGAAAGCCAUCAGGUCAGGUGUUGUUUUUCCCUGUAUAACCCAGAAUGGUUUGUGCUAUUCCUUGGUUCUAUGUGCUACUACUUGGUUCCAUCCACAGUUAAGGAGAAAGAGAAUGUCUUCUUUCUGUCCCGGUCUGUUUCUGGUGCCUGUCACCUUCCUUGACAGGUGGUCGCUGCUCAAUAAAUGUUUUGUGAACCACAGAAUGUAUGAAGGGGCCAGUAAAUAGUUUGUCUUCUUUCAGGUCCAGAAAAACCAAGGCGGAGAGAGAAUAAGUAACUUGCAAGUAUCUUAAAAUGCAAUACGUAUUUUGUUAAGAGUCCAUUCUCAUUUUUACAAGGGGGAAAAAGGGAGGGGGAGUUAGCCUGAAAACUUUGUGCCAACUUCAUCUAAGACACCGUUUAGGUAAAUUUGGGUAUGAGGAGAGCUUUUGAGUGGCAGAGUAUUGUCAAAGACUUGUGACAGAACUUACCGAUCUCUCUGAAGUCUUGACACCCGAGUGUCCCUAACCACAGCUGCCCCCUGAGAAUAUGUAAUGACAGGGCAAGGGCUUCUUACAUUUUCCAAAAUUACAAAACUGCUAUAGAUAUAAACAACUCUUUGGAGUUUAUUUUUUUAUUCCAUUGGGCCUGUUUGGAACCAUAGAGAAACAUCACCAUCAUCAUUGUUACUAUUUCUAUUAGUUUGCAAGCAUCGUCCCUUGACCAGGGUCUUAUAUUGGCUUGAUACAAAUAUGGAAAAAAGGAUAGAGUGAACUGGGGAGUGAAAAAUAGAGCAUUCAUUCCUUUAGUAAUCAUUCCACUGGCUUUCCGGAGAUCCACCUGCCCCCUAGAGGUACAGGGGAGAGUGACUGAUGCUCCCUGACCGCAGGUGGUUCAGGGCCUCAGGCAGAACAGGGACAUCAUCACAGAGUUGCUAAGAGUCUGUGAUUUGGAUCUGGUGCAUAAGCUCUCUUGACCUGUUUACUCAUCUGCAGAUGGGGUCCUAAGAAGUAGGGAAGUGAUGGGACCUACUUCUUAGGACUGCCAUGAGAUUAAAUAAGGUAAUGGCCCUAAAAGGCUUAGCCCACUUGUAUCACUUGGAAUGCUUUUGCUUACAAGGGGAAAAAAAAAAAAAAAA